GAUGAACGCUGGCGGCGUGCCUAAUACAUGCAAGUCGAGCGAACAGACGAGGAGCUUGCUCCUCUGACGUUAGCGGCGGACGGGUGAGUAACACGUGGAUAACCUACCUAUAAGACUGGGAUAACUUCGGGAAACCGGAGCUAAUACCGGAUAAUAUAUUGAACCGCAUGGUUCAAUAGUGAAAGACGGUUUUGCUGUCACUUAUAGAUGGAUCCGCGCCGCAUUAGCUAGUUGGUAAGGUAACGGCUUACCAAGGCAACGAUGCGUAGCCGACCUGAGUGGGUGAUCGGCCACACUGGAACUGAGACACGGUCCAGACUCCAACGAGAGGCAGCAGUAGGGAAUCUUCCGCAAUGGGCGAAAGCUUGACGGAGCAGCGCCGCGUGAGUGAUGAAGAUCUUCGGAUCGUAAAACUCUGUUAUUAGGGAAGAACAAAUGUGUAAGUAACUAUGCACGUCUUGACGGUACCUAAUCAGAAAGCCACGGCUAACUACGUG
RNAcentral lists this ribosomal RNA (497 nucleotides) under uncultured bacterium. Its description in RNAcentral is "partial 16S ribosomal RNA". It matches the Rfam family "Bacterial small subunit ribosomal RNA", at positions 28 to 507 of the family's 1533-position model. The record is from RNAcentral.